Molecule: unclassified non-coding RNA, 332 nt
Filed under: fungal sp.
Lineage: Eukaryota; Fungi
Description: partial internal transcribed spacer region
Rfam family: Eukaryotic small subunit ribosomal RNA (bases 1-46)
Source: RNAcentral
AAGUCGUAACAAGGUCUCCGUAGGUGAACCUGCGGAGGGAUCAUUAACACGUACGAAUAACAAAGUAGAAUGGUACCGGUAUACUGGUACUGACCUACUUUAUUAUUUAUACCAACUCGUGAACGAAACUGUAUGAACCGCCUCCUUAGCUUUGUUACUAACCUAACAUUGCUAAGCUAUGUGUUUUGAUGUAUUCUUAUCAUACAAACCAACGUAUAAAUUGUAACUAACUGACAUAAAAGUACACAUAUGUAACAGUAUGUGUGAUGGUUAUGUCACAGUUAAAUUAAACAUUUUAAGCACAACUCUUAGCAACGGAUAUCUCGGUUCUC